RNAcentral lists this long non-coding RNA (703 nucleotides) under Eucalyptus grandis. RNAcentral's name for it is "long non-coding RNA (EGRA_LNC000564)". Lineage: Eukaryota; Viridiplantae; Streptophyta; Magnoliopsida; Myrtales; Myrtaceae. The record is from RNAcentral.
CCCUUUUUCUUUUUCUUUUUCUUCACCUAAAAAGCCCUCUGCUAUCCAUAAGAGUGCCAGCUCGUCCCUCUCAAAUUCGUAGUCUUUUGGAAAUACAGCGCAAUACGCAAAACAUCUCUUCAAAUAAGAAGGGAGAUGGACAUAACUCAAUUUCAAAGCUGGAAGAACCUCAUCGUUUUUUGCCGACGCUACAUCCCAUAUUCUAUUAUUUAAGAUAGCUUCCCAUUCGUCUGGAUUCUCUUUAUUACGUAGGAGACCGCCCAAUAUCUUCGCUGCCAAAGGUAAACCUCUACAUUUUUCAGCUAUUUUCUUGCCUACUAUUUCUAGAUGCGGGUGCCUCUCGAAAUUUCUUGCUUCCAAAGCGUGAUAGGCUAAUAAGCUGGUACAAUUAUCAACAGACAACUCCUUCAAAGGAUAUGGCGAAGCUCCUGUUAUGGAAACCACGGGAUGGUUGCGCGUCGUGAUGAUGAUUUUGCUUCCCUUAGCCCCCGCUUCAAAUGGCUUUAAGAGGGAAGUCCAUUCUCCAUACUUCUCAUUCCAGACAUCAUCUAAGACCACAAGAAACUUCUUUCCCGAUAGAUGAUUUUUCAAUUUAACUUGAUGCUCGUUAAGAUUGUUGCCCUCGCAGGGCGACCCAGUUAUUGAUUGUAAAAUAGUCUUUGUUAUGUCGACAACAUCAAAAACAUCUGAAACACAAACCCAU